RNA transcript from Perognathus longimembris pacificus (Pacific pocket mouse), 3142 nucleotides. It is a transcript of the gene named cold shock domain-containing protein E1-like, with no coding region annotated. The transcript has a single exon. NCBI's taxonomy places the organism in Eukaryota, Metazoa, Chordata, Mammalia, Rodentia, Heteromyidae. The record is from RefSeq and is a predicted model, not a curated record.
GUGCUGCUUAUGGCAGCGCUGGAGAGGGGGCGCUGAGCUGUUGGGUAUGAAGUGUAACAGAACAGACUUUACCACCUGAAACUGCUGCUUCAAGUUCAGAUCAGGCAAGGAACAAACCUCAUAACCACCAACAAGACCAAAGAAGAGUACACCUAAGUUGAAGACACAACACUUGAUCUGAAACAAGAAGUUUGUGCCUACUCAACAGCUUUGAAAGAGCACUUCCCAACGCUGCUAGUAGUCUUUGUUUUUUUCAGUGUUGUGCUGUGAGAUUGCCCGGUGCAGCAGCAGUUGUAUUCGUUAUUAGCUUGGUAGAUCAUUUUCUCUCACUCUUUUUUAAUACUAGCAACUUUCAUCCUUUGAAACUUGUGCUGUAAAAGGAAGAGUCAGCAGAUACUGAAAGUGCAAUAUUUGAUUAUCACUGCGAGAUGAGCUUUGAUCCAAACCUUCUCCACAACAAUGGACACAAUGGGUACCCCAAUGGUACUUCAGCAGCACUGCGUGAAACUGGGGUUAUUGAAAAACUGUUAACUUCUUAUGGACUUAUUCAGUGUUCAGAAUGUCAAGCUAGACUUUUCUUCCACUGUUCACAAUAUAAUGGCAACCUGCAGGACCUAAAAGUAGGAGAUGAUGUUGAAUUUGAAGUAUCAUCUGACCAGGGGACUGGGAAACCCAUUGCCAUUAAACUGGUGAAGAUAAAACCAGAAAGCCACCCUGAAGAAUGAAUUAAUGGACAAGAGGUGUUCUACCUGACCUACACCCCUGAAGAUGUAGACGGGAAUGUUCAACUGGAGACAGGAGAUAAAAUAAACUUUGUAAUUGAUAACAAUAAACACACUGGUGCUGUAAGUGCUCAAAACAUUAUGCUAUUGAAAAAGAAGCAAGCCCGCUGUCAGGGAGUAGUUUGUGCCAUGAAGGAGGCGUUUGGCUUUAUUGAAAGAGGCAAUGUUGUAAAAGAGAUAUUCUUUCACUAUAGUGAAUUUAAAGGUGACCUAGAAGCCUUACAGCCUGGGGAUGAUGUGGAAUUCACAAUCAAGGACAGAAACGGUAAAGAAGUUGCUACAGAUGUCAGACAAUUGCCUCAAGGAACAGUCAUUUUUGAAGACAUCAGUAUUGAACAUUUUGAAGGAACUGUAACCAAAGUUAUCCCAAAAGAACCCAGUAAAAACCAGAAUGACCCAUUGCCAGGAUGAAUCAAAGUUGACUUUGUGAUUCCUAAAGAACUUCCUUUUGGAGACAAAGAUACAAAAUCCAAGGUGACUCUGCUGGAAGGUGACCAUGUCAGGUUUAAUAUUUCAACAGACCGCCGUGACAAAUUAGAAAGAGCAACCAACAUAGAAAUUCUUUCAAAUACAUUUCAAUUUACUAAUGAAGCCAGAGAAAUGGGUGUGAUUGCUGCCAUGCGAGAUGGUUUUGGCUUCAUCAAGUGUGUGGACCGCGAUGCUCGUAUGUUCUUCCACUUCAGUGAGAUUCUAGAUGGAAACCAGCUCCAUAUUGCAGAUGAAGUCGAAUUUACUGUGGUUCCUGAUAUGCUCUCUGCCCAAAGAAAUCAUGCUGUUAGGAUUAAGCUUCCCAAGGGCACUGUUUCAUUCCAUUCCCAUUCAGAUCAUCGAUGUCUGGGCACUGUAGAAAAAGAAGCCACUUUUUCCAAUCCAAAAACCACUAGCCCAAAUAAAGGCAAAGAGAAGGAGGCCGAGGAUGGCAUCAUUGCUUAUGAUGACUGUGGGGUGAGGCUGACCAUUGCUUUUCAAGCCAAGGAUGUGGAAGGAUCUAUCUCUCCUCAAGUAGGAGAUACGGUUGAAUUUAGUAUUAGUGACAAAGAGGCCUAGACAACAGAUUGCAACUUGUGUGCGACUUCUGGGUCGCAAUUCUAGCUCCAAAAGGCUCUUGGGUUAUGUGGCAACUCUGAAAGAUAAUUUUGGAUUCAUUGAAACAGCCAAUCAUGAUAAAGAGAUCUUUUUCCAUUACAGUCAAUUCUCUGGUGAUGUCGAUAGCCUGGAACUGCUUGUCCAAAGGCAAAGGCAACAAAGUCAGUGCUGAGAAAGUAAACAAAACUCACUCAGUGAAUGGCAUUACAGAGGAGGCUGACCCUAUCAUCUACUCUGGUAAAGUCAUCCACCCCCUGCGGGGCGUUGAUCCAACUCAGAUUGAGUACCAAGGAAUGAUUGAGAUUGUGGAGGAGGGGGACAUGAAAGGUGAGGUCUAUCCAUUUGGCAUAGUUGGGAUGGCCAACAAAGGGGACUGCCUGCAAAAAGGGGAGAGUGUCAAGUUCCAGUUGUGUGUUCUGGGUCAAAAUGCACAGACUAUGGCCUACAAUAUCACGCCCCUGCGUAGGGCCACCCUGGAGUGUGUGAAAGAUCAGUUUGGCUUCAUUAACUAUGAAGUAGGAGAGAACAAGAAGCUUUUUCCAUGUGAAAGAAGUUCAGGAUGGCAUUGAGCUACAGGCAGGAGACGAAGUGUAGUUCUCGGUGAUUCUGAAUCAGCGCACCGGCAAAUGCAGUGCCUGUAAUGUCUGGAGAGUCUGUGAGGGCCCCAAGGCAGUAGCAGCCCCUCGGCCUGAUAGAUUGGUCAAUCGUUUGAAGAACAUCACCCUGGAUGAUGCCACUGCUCCUCUCCUAAUGGUUCUUCGUCAGACCAGGGGACCAGAUAACUCAGUGGGAUUUGGUGCAGAAAGAAAGAUCCGUCAAGCUGGUGUCAUUGACUAACCACAUCCACAGAGCACAUCAUUAAUCCACUAUGAUCAAGUUGGGGGGAUUCUGGUGAAGGGUUCUUAAUAUCUCCCUCUUCAUCCCUCCCAAAAUCUGGAAUACUUAUUCUAUUGAGCCAUUACACCAGUUUUAACACCUUCCUCGUGUUAUGUUUAAAAAAAAUAAAUAAAUUUAAGAAACCAUUUAAAAAUUAUGCACAGUUGCAGCCUGGAAAAGUUAAGGUGGCGCCUUAUAGUAUCAAUUUUAGGAGCUUUAUUUGGUGCAUUUAACGCAACUGGUAAUUGCAAAAUUCACUUGGCCUGAGUAAGGGAAAAUAGACUUGUCUUGUUGGCCCUAUGAAAUUCUGCACUUGUAUUCUACUGUCAUGACCUCUGGCACGGUGUUGGCCUUGGCACUCAGUUGCAUUCUUUUCUUUCCUGUUCAUUAUGCUUUAA